Molecule: ribosomal RNA, 502 nt
Filed under: uncultured bacterium
Lineage: Bacteria
Description: bacterial SSU rRNA
Rfam family: Bacterial small subunit ribosomal RNA
Source: RNAcentral
GAUGAACGCUAGCUACAGGCUUAACACAUGCAAGUCGAGGGGAAACGAUAGAGAAAGCUUGCUUUUUCUAGGCGUCGACCGGCGCACGGGUGAGUAACGCGUAUCCAACCUGCCCAUCACUUGGGGAUAACCUUGCGAAAGUAAGACUAAUACCCAAUGACGUCUCUAGAAGACAUCUGAAGGAGAUUAAAGAUUUAUCGGUGAUGGAUGGGGAUGCGUCUGAUUAGCUUGUUGGCGGGGUAACGGCCCACCAAGGCGACGAUCAGUAGGGGUUCUGAGAGGAAGGCCCCCCCACAUUGGAACUGAGACACGGUCCAAACUCCUACGGGAGGCAGCAGUGAGGAAUAUUGGUCAAUGGACGAGAGUCUGAACCAGCCAAGUAGCGUGCAGGAUGACGGCCCUAUGGGUUGUAAACUGCUUUUAUAAGGGAAUAAAGUGAGUCUCGUGAGACUUUUUGCAUGUACCUUAUGAAUAAGGACCGGCUAAUUCCGUGCCAGCAGCC